AUGCAUGAUUUUGGUGGAGCCACUGGAACUCUUCCCUGUCGCUACCUUGGUCUACCACCAAGUCUACGGAAACCAAGAAGAGUUGAGGUGCUGCCAUUGAUAGAGGGUAUGGCCGGUAGAUUAAAAGGUUGGAAAGGAAGGCUUAUGGCUAAACCAGGAAGGCUUGCUCUCAUAAACUCAGUUCUAACAUCCAUGGCCACCUAUUUUCUAACCUGCUUUGCUGCAAGCAAAUGGGCGAUCAAGCGGUUGGACAAGAUUCGAAGAAACUUUCUUUGGGCUGCUGAUGAGGAAUGCAAUGGCGGCAAGUGUCUAGUGAAUUGGAAGAAGUGUUGCUCGCCUAAAAAAAUUGGUGGCCUU
This 357-nucleotide ribosomal RNA is filed under the name Triticum aestivum (bread wheat). Its description in RNAcentral is "partial small subunit ribosomal RNA". The record is from RNAcentral. Lineage: Eukaryota; Viridiplantae; Streptophyta; Magnoliopsida; Poales; Poaceae.